AACCCAACAAGUCCUCCAACUCAUACGACCGUAUGGGUCGUUUGUCACUAUCCAUAAAUACGACCCACACGAGCGUUCUCUAAAUUAGCGCCCCUAUUGGCAACAGGAGAUGUUCGUGGAUUUUGAUGAUAUGGAUUUUAGAUGACUUCGAGACAUGUACAGUUUUGCAGUUUCUUCAUAUCACAUACAUCUCCAGCUCCUACAACAACAUUCAGUGUCCAGCAGCUCUUUAUGAUGCUCUCUCUCUCUCUCUCUCUCUCUCUCUCUCUCUCUCUCUUCUCUCUCUCUCUCUCUCUCUCUCUCUCUCAUUUUCGUUUCCUAUUUUUCUGAACUGUAAUUCAUAAAUAAGUCACACAUAUUUUUCUUUCUUUCUCUUGUUCAUCAUGGCAUAUUUUCACAGCUCAGAAUCAGAUUUUGAUCAGUUCUUGUAUUAACAGGGAACUUGUACUCGAAGCUCAACUUGAAGAAGUUUCCAGUGAAGAUGAAGUCCUUCAAAGGUUCGACACAGCUGAAAAGGAAGACCAUGGGCCUGUCAAACCUUGUUUGUGGAGAGGGAUGAAUUUGACCAUCUUGUGUGUUUACGGAGAAGACCAAAAGCUGCUAAGGCAGAUAUUUCCAGAGGUACAAACAGAGCGGAUGGUUGCAUGAUGGCCUCUUUCAGGUUUGUCAACUGAAUGUCUACUAGUGUGGCUCAGCAAGUUCCUGUCAUGAUCAGCCCUCUCCAAGAAAGCUGAAGAGCAAAAACACAAAGAACAUCAGUCCUGUUGGGGAUGAGGAAUGAACAUGGCUCUAUUGUGCCCAAACAGAAAAGAGUGAAAAGUCCUAGAAUGAACAAAUCAUCAGGGCAUCAUUUCUGGAAUUUGGGCAGAAAAUGACUGAAUAUGAAAGACUGCAGUAGAAGGAAAGCUGGUACUGAGAACAUUUGUCUUCACUCCAGACUAAAGAGAAGCGGGUCUGAGGCCAGAGAUGGAGGAGUCAAUGGUCACCAAAUGCAGCGCUGCAGCCUGAAACUGUGAAGACUGAAUUCCCAAACAGCUGUGUGACUGCACAGAUGUUACGGCCAUAAAAGAAACUUCACAACUGAGAGCCCAUACCUCCAACAACCUUCAACAGGAAUCAAUGGACAUCUACGCAAGGUUUUUCUUUUGUUGAGGACCGUCAGAGACUCCAGCCACACGAGCCAUGGAUUGCUCUCAACAUCACCAUCAGACAGACAUUAUCACAGAACCAGCACCAGCAGACUGCAAAACAAGUUCCUUCAACAGGCAAUCAGACUGAACUGAACUCGUACCAGUAACACCACACACACACACACACACACACACACACAUACACACACCAGCAGCCUCAUACUGUGUGCACUGCACUCUAUCAGCUACACUGACUGGACUCUGACUCACUAUUAUUCUGCAACCUGAUAUUCUGUUUGCACUAAUUCAUACUGUACUGAAAGUGAAAGUGACGUGACAUACAGUCAAGUAUGGUGACCCAUACUCAGAAUUUGUGCUCUGCAUUUAACCCAUCCGAAGUGCACACACACAGAGCAGUGAACACACACACACUGUGAACACACACCCGGAGCAGUGGGCAGAGGUAUAUCUACAGUAUACAGUGAUUGUUGUUAAUUGUUUUCAUUUUGUUCUCUCUGUAUAGUAUAGUAUUGCACUAUAUUUUCUACCUGUAUUGAGCUCUUAUGUAUACGGUUUAUAUUUUUGAUACUGUAUAUGUGUUGCAAAUAUAUUCAGUACUUGUCAUGCUGCAGUUUGCAGAAAAGCAUUUUACCACCUGUAUACUUGCAUUCAUGGUAUUGUGAUAAUAAAAUGAUUUGAUUUGAA
This is a long non-coding RNA of Carassius gibelio (silver crucian carp), 1835 nucleotides long. RefSeq lists it as uncharacterized. The record is from RefSeq and is a predicted model, not a curated record. Lineage: Eukaryota; Metazoa; Chordata; Actinopteri; Cypriniformes; Cyprinidae. The transcript has 9 exons.